Molecule: ribosomal RNA, 1490 nt
Filed under: metagenome
Description: bacterial SSU rRNA
Rfam family: Bacterial small subunit ribosomal RNA
Source: RNAcentral
AGAGUUUGAUCCUGGCUCAGAUUGAACGCUGGCGGCAUGCCUUACACAUGCAAGUCGAACGGCAGCACGAGAGCUUGCUCUUGGUGGCGAGUGGCGAACGGGUGAGUAAUAUAUCGGAACGUACCCUAGAGUGGGGGAUAACGUAGCGAAAGUUACGCUAAUACCGCAUACGAUCUACGGAUGAAAGUGGGGGAUCGCAAGACCUCAUGCUCAUGGAGCGGCCGAUAUCUGAUUAGCUAGUUGGUGGGGUAAAAGCUCACCAAGGCGACGAUCAGUAGCUGGUCUGAGAGGACGACCAGCCACACUGGAACUGAGACACGGUCCAGACUCCUACGGGAGGCAGCAGUGGGAAUUUUGGACAAUGGGCGCAAGCCUGAUCCAGCAAUGCCGCGUGAGUGAAGAAGGCCUUCGGGUUGUAAAGCUCUUUUGUCAGGGAAGAAACGGUGGACUCUAAUACAGAUCACUAAUGACGGUACCUGAAGAAUAAGCACCGGCUAACUACGUGCCAGCAGCCGCGGUAAUACGUAGGGUGCAAGCGUUAAUCGGAAUUACUGGGCGUAAAGCGUGCGCAGGCGGUUGUGCAAGACAGAUGUGAAAUCCCCGGGCUCAACCUGGGAAUUGCAUUUGUGACUGCACGGCUAGAGUGUGUCAGAGGGGGGUAGAAUUCCACGUGUAGCAGUGAAAUGCGUAGAGAUGUGGAGGAAUACCGAUGGCGAAGGCAGCCCCCUGGGAUAACACUGACGCUCAUGCACGAAAGCGUGGGGAGCAAACAGGAUUAGAUACCCUGGUAGUCCACGCCCUAAACGAUGUCUACUAGUUGUCGGGUCUUAAUUGACUUGGUAACGCAGCUAACGCGUGAAGUAGACCGCCUGGGGAGUACGGUCGCAAGAUUAAAACUCAAAGGAAUUGACGGGGACCCGCACAAGCGGUGGAUGAUGUGGAUUAAUUCGAUGCAACGCGAAAAACCUUACCUACCCUUGACAUGUCUGGAAUCCUUGAGAGAUCAGGGAGUGCUCGAAAGAGAAUCAGAACACAGGUGCUGCAUGGCUGUCGUCAGCUCGUGUCGUGAGAUGUUGGGUUAAGUCCCGCAACGAGCGCAACCCUUGUCAUUAGUUGCUACGAAAGGGCACUCUAAUGAGACUGCCGGUGACAAACCGGAGGAAGGUGGGGAUGACGUCAAGUCCUCAUGGCCCUUAUGGGUAGGGCUCCACACGUCAUACAAUGGUACAUACAGAGGGCCGCCAACCCGCGAGGGGGAGCUAAUCCCAGAAAGUGUAUCGUAGUCCGGAUUGUAGUCUGCAACUCGACUACAUGAAGUUGGAAUCGCUAGUAAUCGCGGAUCAGCAUGUCGCGGUGAAUACGUUCCCGGGUCUUGUACACACCGCCCGUCACACCAUGGGAGCGGGUUUCACCAGAAGUGGGUAGCCUAACCGCAAGGAGGGCGCUCACCACGGUGGGAUUCGUGACUGGGGUGAAGUCGUAACAAGGUA